Molecule: transfer RNA, 73 nt
Filed under: Nelumbo nucifera (sacred lotus)
Lineage: Eukaryota; Viridiplantae; Streptophyta; Magnoliopsida; Proteales; Nelumbonaceae
Rfam family: tRNA
About the family: Transfer RNA (tRNA) molecules are approximately 80 nucleotides in length. Their secondary structure includes four short double-helical elements and three loops (D, anti-codon, and T loops).
Source: Rfam by way of RNAcentral
GCGCUUGUAGCUCAAUGGAUAGAGUGUAUGUUUUCUAAGCAGAAAGUUGUAGGUUCAACCCUUACUUGGUGCG